This 331-nucleotide long non-coding RNA is filed under the name Eucalyptus grandis. Its description in RNAcentral is "long non-coding RNA (EGRA_LNC002402)". Lineage: Eukaryota; Viridiplantae; Streptophyta; Magnoliopsida; Myrtales; Myrtaceae. The record is from RNAcentral.
GCAAUCUCAUCACAGAUCGAAGCAUCGAUCAAAUCGACCUAGUCGAUUACACGUCAAUAGGACCACUUCCGGUCAUUUCCACUAUUCCAACCAAUUUACAACAUCAAUUCAAGGCAAUGAUCAAUUGACCUAGUCGAUUACGUCUCAAUCAACCAUUCACCGAUCAUUCCAUUCAAUCAAUCAAUCCACAACAUCAAAUCAAGACAACGAUCAAUCGACCUAGUCGAUUACAUAUCAACAAGACCAAUUCCGGUCAUUUCAACUAUUCCAAUUCAAUUCCCAAUUAUGAAUCACGGUCCUUAGGACACAACUUAAUUAUAGGUGGUAAUCA